Molecule: unclassified non-coding RNA, 891 nt
Filed under: Hevea brasiliensis (rubber tree)
Lineage: Eukaryota; Viridiplantae; Streptophyta; Magnoliopsida; Malpighiales; Euphorbiaceae
Source: RNAcentral
UGCUUUUAUCAUAUUAUACUAAAUAUAUAACAUAAGUAUAUAACAAAGGAGUUCUACAUAUAUUAUAUUAUUAGUAGAUAAAGCAUUUCAUGUUUGAAUUUUAAUAAUUUCUUUUUUUGAUUUUUUGCUCUUCCAAGGUAUGAGAUUCUUGAAACCCUCGUACAUGGAAGCCCUAAAACGAAACUUACCCAAAUGUUAGGGUGAGAGAAGCCAGACAAGUUACCAUUUCUUUCAAGUCCAGCAUCAGUUCCACAAUCUGCUGAAAUGACCAAAUUACCCCUACCGACACCAUUUUCUUUCGUAAUACGUCGUUUGACAAACCAUUGUUGCCACCAAUAAGAACCUCUUCUAGACACAUUAUUGUUAGUACUAUCAUCGUGUUUAUAAAGAACCAAAGUACCAAGUUGCCCUCUCUCAUGAAGGACAUUUAGUUUAGGGGAGGAGGGUAUUUUGGUCAUUUUAUCCAAAUAGUAAAACCUAGGAGGUGGCUCUAAGAAUUUAGGUUGAUCAUUGAAAGAAAUAAUAAUAUCAGUACAAUAAGGUCUAGGUUUACCAGGAUGUAAUUCCCACUUAAAAGGAACAGAAGCUAAACAAGUGUGAAUUGGUGGUGUUAAUACACCUGAUGAUGAUGAAUAUUGUUGAUGAUGAGAUGAAUAUUUCAAUUUCAUGGAUUGUGGUGUUAAAAAUAGAGGAAGUUUUGUGGUGGAAUUACUUUGCUCUAUAGACAUAAUGGGGUGAUACUAAUCUUAUUUUUGUUUAAAGAGUGGACAAUAGAAAUAAUUAUUUGUAUACACAUAUAGAAGAUGAAAAUGAAGAACCAACUUUGGUGUACUAUUGAUGGUUUUGUUCACGGGGGAAAAAAGGACACCUUUACAUCACUUCACUUAGAAA